Molecule: small nuclear RNA, 103 nt
Organism: Ictidomys tridecemlineatus (thirteen-lined ground squirrel)
Lineage: Eukaryota; Metazoa; Chordata; Mammalia; Rodentia; Sciuridae
Source: Ensembl
GUGCUCCCUGCAGCACAGACACUAAAUUUGGAAUAAUACAGAGAAAAUGAGUGUGGCCCUGCACGAGGAAGACAUGCAAAUUUGUGAAUAUUCUUUUAAAUAA